Molecule: long non-coding RNA, 968 nt
Filed under: Homo sapiens (human)
Lineage: Eukaryota; Metazoa; Chordata; Mammalia; Primates; Hominidae
Description: long intergenic non-protein coding RNA 1227
Source: RNAcentral
GGCAGAGGGGCCCAGUCUAGUCUGUGACCUGAGCCAUCAUGGUAGGGUGUCCAGGGUGAGGGGAGGGUGGUGUGAAUCCCCAGUAAUGCAGGUCCUUUCCAGGCCAGGCCCCUGGUCCCCAGGAGUGCGGGGAUGCCUGAGGUCUACUGCUGCCUUAUCCAGAGCUGCCAUCCCCGGCGAUGACUCAGAGUUCCUGUGGCCCCAGCAUCAUCCCUCCAUCCCUGGCUGUGAGGCAGGAGCAGAGUUGCAGACCUGAGAGGCCUUGAAUUUGUUUGAUAUAGGACUUUGCCACCAGACAAAGUGCUUUGCCUGUGAGGUCUGGCUUGGCCUGGCCUCUGAGAAAGAACAAACACAGACCUCACUGGAAGGAACCUGGAGAACGGGAGAGGAGAGGCUGCUGCUGUCUGCCCUCCCAGCAGCAGAUAUAAAGACAAUGGGCUUCUAAGUCCCCUAGAGUCCCAGCUGUGUAAUUUAAGGCAAAUAUAAUUUCUGACCUACGUAAUGAUGUAUGCACAAGAAGCCUCUCUUGAAUGUAUUAAUUCAGUAAACAGUUAUGGAGUCCUUACAAUGUGCUAGUGGGACUUUGAAGAUGAAUCCAAAUUUGGAUCCUGGCCUGGAAAGGCUCAAAGCCCAAUAUGGGAGUGAUUCUGAGCAGAAACAAAGGGGAACGUAUGUCUUCAUUGUGACUCAGCGAGCAAAGAGAUGGAGUCUUUUCCAAGAAGAAAGUGGGAGAUUUGGGACCACUGACAUAUUUGGCCCACUGAUUCCAUUCCCCUAGACCAACACGUGUUCAUCAAAUUGCAUCACUCUUAUGGGGAACUUAAUGCAACUCCGGUGCCCAUUGCAUUAGUUUUUGAUGAUGGAAUUCUCUUUGUGAACUUGAACUUGAGGGGUCUGGCUACCCCUCUGAGACUUCUUUUUUGAGAUAAAAUCAUAUAACAUAAAAUUCGCCCUUUUAAUGUGUACAA